GCCAUUUUUGCAAAGAAAUCCGUUGGCUAACGGAUAUGUAGCUGUUGCCAACGGACAUGUGGGCCCCAUAAAUUCAAAAUUUUUAUAAAAAAAAAUAUUACCGUUGAAGCGGGCCGGGCCGGUCCGGGCUGUACCGGUUCACGGUACUGUUCACCAUACCGGGCCGGUCCGGUCCGGGCUGUACCGGUUCACGGUACUGUUCACC
This 205-nucleotide long non-coding RNA is filed under the name Nicotiana benthamiana. RNAcentral describes it as "long non-coding RNA (NBEN_LNC001323)". Lineage: Eukaryota; Viridiplantae; Streptophyta; Magnoliopsida; Solanales; Solanaceae. The record is from RNAcentral.